Molecule: transfer RNA, 77 nt
Filed under: Candidatus Uhrbacteria bacterium
Lineage: Bacteria; Candidatus Uhriibacteriota
Description: tRNA-Pro
Rfam family: tRNA
About the family: Transfer RNA (tRNA) molecules are approximately 80 nucleotides in length.
Source: RNAcentral
CGGGGUGUAGCUCAGUUGGCUAGAGCACCUGCUUUGGGAGCAGGGGGUCGCAGGUUCAAGUCCUGUCACCCCGACCA